This 585-nucleotide long non-coding RNA is filed under the name Cottoperca gobio. Its description in RNAcentral is "lncRNA (ENSCGOG00000020440.1)". Lineage: Eukaryota; Metazoa; Chordata; Actinopteri; Perciformes; Bovichtidae. The record is from RNAcentral.
GUUGUGUUCCUGAACGCCUCAUUAGAAUCAUGUCUCAACUUGAUUUCCAAUGUUUGACGCAUUGACGACAAGACUGCGAGGACACUGGGAAGAAACUGACGAUGAAUAGAACGCAUGGCGAACCAGAGGAGGGGGCAAGUCUAGGGGCGACAGGAUAUGAUGCAGACACAGACGACACACAUGAUGAGAAGGACAUUUUGGAUGGGGAACCAGCUGCAUCUCAAGAAGCUGCGUCUCCACAACCGUCAGACGAGCUGGGAGUAGCUGAUGAUGAAACAGAACCAGCUGCAUCUCAAGAAGCUGCAUCUCCACAACCGUCAGACGAGCUGGGAGGGAUGAUGAUGAAACAGGAGAAGCACACAUUGCCGCCAAAAACUCCUCUACUCCGCAGGAAACAGAGCGACCGAAAAGCCCAGGCCUGAUCCAGGUUGAGACGCCGACGAAGCGCUUCAAGAAAUAACACUGUAUAAGUGUAUAAGCUGCAUGUGACAUUUGCCAAAUAAACACGUGUUGACUUGGAGUUGUUUGUGUUGUGAUGGAGACCUUUCGUUUUAGCUUAAGUCAAAGUUUAAAGAUACAGUUUAA